RNAcentral lists this transfer RNA (73 nucleotides) under Pseudomonadota bacterium. RNAcentral describes it as "tRNA-OTHER". Lineage: Bacteria; Pseudomonadati; Pseudomonadota. The record is from RNAcentral.
CUCGCCGCCGAUGGAGCGGAAAAAUCGCUACGAACGAUUUUGUUGAUGGGUUCGAAUCCCUCCGGCGAGUCCA